Molecule: long non-coding RNA, 598 nt
Organism: Hemicordylus capensis (graceful crag lizard)
Lineage: Eukaryota; Metazoa; Chordata; Lepidosauria; Squamata; Cordylidae
Exons: 2
Source: RefSeq, a predicted model, not a curated record
CCACACCUAUGCUCUUAGGCCGUUUUGUGGUUCUGUGCCUUUAAAUGAGGAAAAUCAAGGAAUGCAUAGGAUCUGCUGCCAGGCAGUGAAGGAAGGGUUGAGGUGGUGAGUUGCUAGGCAGCAGAAGGUGCAGCAUUCUCUCUGAGAAACAGUCAGCGAGACACGCGGGCUACCUAGAGCAUUUCAGAGCUGCUCUGAGCCUCUCUCUCUCUGGUUGUGGGAGGAGCUUCAGCAUGAAACCCAAGUUACAGCGAGCACGAAAUUUGAAUGACACAGCGGGACACAGAUUGAGGACACAUGGCCCUGAAGCCCAGGAUGUCUGAAGCUUCCCACACAGGGGAAUAGGGAGGAAAAACAACAAUGCCUCACUCCUGGGAAACCUUCAUGAAUAUAUUACCUGAAUCAGACUCUAAUUAAUGAUGCACCCAAGAUGUCUACCUUCAAGCUGUGCUACAGCUCACUACUGCAGUCAUACUUCAACCUUAUCAUGGAUGUAAUUAAUUUUAAAACUCUUAUUGUAUGGAACAAUAUUACACUGCUGAAAUUAUACCCAAGAGGUCAUGGUCUCUAACAAUAAAUUGUCAUACAAUUAGCUCCA